CGGCUGCCUUACACAUGCAAGUCGAACGGCAGCACGGGUGCUUGCACCUGGUGGCGAGUGGCGAACGGGUGAGUAAUACAUCKGAACAUGUCCUGUAGUGGGGGAUAGCCCGGCGAAGGCCGGAUUAAUACCGCAYACGAUCUACGGAUGAAAGCGGGGGACCUUCGGGCCUCGCGCUAUAGGGUUGGCCGAUGGCUGAUUARCUAGUUGGUGGGGUAAAGGCCUACCAAGGCGACMAUCARUAGCUGGUCUGAGAGGACGACCAGCCACACUGGGACUGAGACACGGCCCAGACUCCUACSGGAGGCAGCAGUGGGGAAUUUUGGACAAUGGGCGAAAGCCUGAUCCAGCMAUGCCKCGUGUGUGAAGAAGGCCUUCGGGUUGUAAAGCACUUUUGUCCGGAAAGAAAUCCUUGRCUCUAAUACAGUCGGGGGAUGACGGUACCGGAAGAAUAAGCACCGGCAAACUACGUGCCAGCAGCCGCSGSUAAUACA
RNAcentral lists this ribosomal RNA (494 nucleotides) under bacterium SNB-CN33. RNAcentral describes it as "partial 16S ribosomal RNA". It matches the Rfam family "Bacterial small subunit ribosomal RNA", at positions 40 to 527 of the family's 1533-position model. The record is from RNAcentral.